GAUGAACGCUGGCGGCGUGCCUAAUACAUGCCAGUCGAACGAAACUUCUUUAUCACCGAGUGCUUGCACUCACCGAUAAAGAGUUGAGUGGCGAACGGGUGAGUAACACGUGGGCAACCUGCCCAAAAGAGGGGGAUAACACUUGGAAACAGGUGCUAAUACCGCAUAACCAUAGUUACCGCAUGGUAACUAUGUAAAAGGUGGCUAUACUACCGCCUUUGGAUGGGCCCGCGGCGCAUUAGCUAGUUGGUAGGGUAAAGGCUUCCAAGGCAAUGAUGCGUAGCCGAAUUGAGAGGUUGAUCGGCCACAUUGGGACUGAGACACGGCCCAAACUCCUACGGGAGGCAGCAGUAGGGAAUCUUCCACAAUGGGCGAAAGCCUGAUGGAGCAACGCCGCGUGGGUGAAGAAGGUCUUCGGAUCGUAAAACCCUGUUGUUAGAGAAGAAAGUGCGUGAGAGUAACUGUUCACGUUUCGACGGUAUCUAACCAGAAAGCCACGGCUAACUACGUG
RNAcentral lists this ribosomal RNA (511 nucleotides) under uncultured bacterium. RNAcentral describes it as "partial 16S ribosomal RNA". It matches the Rfam family "Bacterial small subunit ribosomal RNA", at positions 28 to 507 of the family's 1533-position model. The record is from RNAcentral.